GACGAACGCUGGCGGCGUGCCUAAUACAUGCAAGUAGAACGCUGAAGGAGGAGCUUGCUUCUCCGGAUGAGUUGCGAACGGGUGAGUAACGCGUAGGUAACCUGCCUGGUAGCGGGGGAUAACUAUUGGAAACGAUAGCUAAUACCGCAUAACAGUAGAUGUUGCAUGACAUUUGCUUGAAAGGUGCAAUUGCAUCACUACCAGAUGGACCUGCGUUGUAUUAGCUAGUUGGUGGGGUAACGGCUCACCAAGGCGACGAUACAUAGCCGACCUGAGAGGGUGAUCGGCCACACUGGGACUGAGACACGGCCCAGACUCCUACGGGAGGCAGCAGUAGGGAAUCUUCGGCAAUGGACGGAAGUCUGACCGAGCAACGCCGCGUGAGUGAAGAAGGUUUUCGGAUCGUAAAGCUCUGUUGUAAGAGAAGAACGGGUGUGAGAGUGGAAAGUUCACACUGUGACGGUAUCUUACCAGAAAGGGACGGCUAACUACGUGCCAGCAGCCGCGGUAAUACGUAGGUCCCGAGCGUUGUCCGGAUUUAUUGGGCGUAAAGCGAGCGCAGGCGGUUAGAUAAGUCUGAAGUUAAAGGCUGUGGCUUAACCAUAGUACGCUUUGGAAACUGUUUAACUUGAGUGCAAGAGGGGAGAGUGGAAUUCCAUGUGUAGCGGUGAAAUGCGUAGAUAUAUGGAGGAACACCGGUGGCGAAAGGCGGCUCUCUGGCUUGGAACUGACGCUGAGGCUCGAAAGCGUGGGGAGCAAACCGGAUUAGAUACCCUGGUAUUCCACGCCUUAAACAAAGAGUGCUAGGUGUUAAACCCUUUCCGGGGUUUAGUGCGCAGCUAAAGCAUUAAGCACUCCGCCUGGGGAAUACCACCGCAGGGUGAAACUCAAGGGAAUGACGGGGGCCCGCACAAGCGGCGGAGCAUGUGGUUUAAUUUGAAGCAACGCGAGGAACCUUGCCAAGUCUUGACAUCUAUCUGCCAUUUCUAGAGAUAGAUGUUUUCUUCUGGGACAGACUGUACAGCUGGUGCAGCGUGGUCGUCAUCUCCUGUGGUCGGAUGUUGGGUUAUUUAUUCCAAUAGACGCGCCCACCCUCAUUAUUAGUUUUCCUCAUCUUAGAGGGGCGGUCUCGAGAAAUUCACCGUAGUUACACUCAGGAAGAGGGUGGAGAGGGUCAAAUUUUCACCUCCCUUAUGUGCUGGGCUAUACACAUGUUACAAUGUGUCGGGCACAGAGUUCCGCGCGGGUGAGAGCAUGAUCGUUUCUCAAACCCACUGUUCGUUUCUGGAUUGUGGGCUCUGCUUCUCCUACA
Molecule: ribosomal RNA, 1312 nt
Filed under: uncultured bacterium
Lineage: Bacteria
Description: partial 16S ribosomal RNA
Rfam family: Bacterial small subunit ribosomal RNA
Source: RNAcentral